This 89-nucleotide transfer RNA is filed under the name Microcaldota archaeon. RNAcentral describes it as "Candidatus Micrarchaeota archaeon (hot springs metagenome) tRNA-Arg". It matches the Rfam family "tRNA". Rfam says of the family: Transfer RNA (tRNA) molecules are approximately 80 nucleotides in length. Their secondary structure includes four short double-helical elements and three loops (D, anti-codon, and T loops). Further hydrogen bonds mediate the characteristic L-shaped molecular structure. tRNAs have two regions of fundamental functional importance: the anti-codon, which is responsible for specific mRNA codon recognition, and the 3' end, to which the tRNAs corresponding amino acid is attached (by aminoacyl-tRNA synthetases). tRNAs cope with the degeneracy of the genetic code in two manners: having more than one tRNA (with a specific anti-codon) for a particular amino acid; and 'wobble' base-pairing, i.e. permitting non-standard base-pairing at the 3rd anti-codon position. Lineage: Archaea; Nanobdellati; Microcaldota. The record is from RNAcentral.
GGGCCUGUAGCUCAACUUGGAUAGAGCGCCUGGCUUCGGACCAGGCGGUUGUGGGUUCAAAACAUUAUGUGAAAAUCCUGCCAGGCCCG